CUUGGCGCUGACUGGGGCGGUGCGUCCAGCCUGCAGCUUCCCGGACCCCCAGCCCGCAGCGGGGCUGCUGGGGCCCCUUCCGCGAGCCUGGGGGCCUGGCGGAGCUGGACGAGGCUCAGGGUCACUUACAGAGAGACAGAGGACAACCCCACAGACCCCGUUUUACAGCGGAGGACGCAGAGGCACAGGUUACCUAGUUUCAAGCCACCAGUGAGAUACCACAGAGCAAACAGCUGGGAAGAGAGGCCCAGAAGUGACUCUCACCAGGCUGUGUGGUGCUCCCGCACUCCGCCGGCAGUGUCUCUCCCUAGUUGUAUGACCUGAGGCAAGUGAUUUCACCAAUGUAACCUCACUUUCUUCACCUGUAAAAUGGGCCAACACCACCUCUCCCAGGCUGUUCGUGUGAGGAUUAAAUGACUUAGUGUUGUCUCCCACUUAACUACAAUUAAUUACAUUUAAUCCUUAGAAUGGCCUUACGCAUUCUAAUUAUUUGAUUUUAUGUCAGUUUUUUCCAAUGAACUGCGAACUCCUUGAAGGCAGGGACUAUGUCACAUUUAUCUUUGUAUCCCCAGUGUCUAGUACAGAGCUUGGCACAUAGUAGGUACUCAAUAAGUGUGUCCCUUUCAAACCCAAAGCUAUAGUCCUGUGCGAGUGAAACAUGUGGUCCACCCUUCAGCCUGGGCCUUCUCUGUGAGCCUGGGGAGGGUGGACCUGUGGACCCUUGCACGGAUCCUUCCCAAGGAGCCUGCAUGGCUGGUUGAGAUUUCAGCUUUUCAAAGUCCUUCCUGGGAACCAUGUGCCGUCUGAGGGCUGGCUGUUGGAGGAUCACCCUGAGCACAUCCCCUGGGCACCUGGAGCCCCCUGCCCUGGCUGUAUAUCUGUAGAGGACAGUUUAGGGGUGGGGUCUGUAUCACAGACAUGAGCAGGUCCCUGGCUCCUCCCAGCUUCUCAAAAUUUCUGGAACAGGGUGUAGGGAACACCAAGAUAAUGAUGUCAUCACCCAAACCUAAAACAUAUGCCUAUACAUGGGAAAGGAGCCACCCUGGUCCUCUCUCCAUGAAACAUAGAAUCCAUCCUCGGUCCUGCCAGCCCUAGCUCGGAUGCGGCUUGAAAACCUCCCUGUGAGCUUCCACUGGUGAGAUGGGCUGUCCUCACAUCUUCUGUGUUCCCUGACACCUCAGCUGCUGCCACAG
Molecule: long non-coding RNA, 1193 nt
Filed under: Homo sapiens (human)
Lineage: Eukaryota; Metazoa; Chordata; Mammalia; Primates; Hominidae
Description: HSALNT0018334
Source: RNAcentral